This is a long non-coding RNA of Nicotiana attenuata, 451 nucleotides long. RefSeq lists it as uncharacterized. NCBI's taxonomy places the organism in Eukaryota, Viridiplantae, Streptophyta, Magnoliopsida, Solanales, Solanaceae. The record is from RefSeq and is a predicted model, not a curated record. The transcript has 3 exons.
AAACGAAAAACACAUCCAUAAGCAAUUGUAAGAUCUGUAGGAGUUUAAGUUCAAAAGCAAAAAACCAUGGACAAAAAUCAGAAAUUGAGCUACGAUGUUGGUGUAGCUAAGGGCCAAGCCCAGGAAAAAGGUAGUCAAUUGAUGGAGAAGGCUGGGACUGCUGUGGAGUCUGCCAAGGAAACAGCGCAAGAGGUGGGGCAGCAAGUGACGACCAAAACACAAGAAGCAGCAGAGGCCGUUAAAAAUGCCACUGGCAUGAACAAAUAAACCACGUUAAUUUAUACCAUAUUAUAGUUUAUGAAGAUCUUAAUUUCUUCUACUUCAAUUGGAUUACCAAUUUAUGUUGCUUAAGUUUGAAUAAAUGGUGAGAACUUCUGCGUUUCUGAAUUAUAGUUUGUAAUAAUGUUUGGUUCUUAAUUAUAAUUGCAUAUUUAGUAGCACUUGCAGUAGA